Molecule: long non-coding RNA, 4294 nt
Filed under: Homo sapiens (human)
Lineage: Eukaryota; Metazoa; Chordata; Mammalia; Primates; Hominidae
Description: HSALNT0257585
Source: RNAcentral
AAAGGCAUCACAUCUUUUAUGUAAUGGAUGCAGAUAUAUGUCACAAGAACCCCUGUGGACAGGGCUGAGGUGUUUGGCCCAGUGAAAUGUCACAAUAACCAAAAUAUGUGGUUGUUAGACAGAAGAGUCACAUCACCUAAGUUCUGGUUCCAGUGAUAUGUCACAAUCUUUCCUUUUGACAGGGAUCAGAGAGGAGUCACAUCGGUUAGGUGAUGAACAAAAAUAAAUGUCUCAAUAACCCCAUGCUCACGGUCCAUGUGAGAGAGUUGAAUCACCCAUGUGUUGAACCUAGUGAAAUGUCAAAAUAUACAAUUUAUGCAGGGCCCAGGCAGGAGAAGACAGUACCUUCACCUAGGUGUCAGCCCCAGUGAUACAUCACAAUACCUUCUGUGACAGAGUCCAAGCAGUGGAGAAGAAUCACAUUACCUAGGUGCUGAGUCAAAAACUAUGUCACAAAAAUCAAUGAGGGUAGGGCCCAGGCAGGAGUCAAAUUACCUAAAUUAGGGGCUCAGGGAUAUGUUGCAAUGACCUCUGUGGGUAGGACUCAGGAGAAACAGGAGAGUCACAUAAUCAAGGUGCUGAGUAAAGCUAUAUGACACAAUCACCCAAACUGAUAGGCCCAGGCAAAAGAAAGGAGUCAUAUCACAUAGGUGCUGGGCCAAGUGAUGUGUCACAAUCUUCAUUAUGGACAGUUCCCAGGAAGGAGAGUCAUAUCAUCUAGAUGAUGAACCUAGAGAUGUCACAAUAAGCCAUGUGGGCUGGGAUAAUGCAGAAGAAUAGAAUCAUUUGUGUGUUGAUCCUAGUAUAAGUCACUCUCUUUUUUGUGUGCAUGGACCAGGCGGGAGAGUCAUAACAUCUAGGUGCUGGGCCCAGAGAUAGGUCACAAGCUCUACUAUUGGCAAAGCCCAGGUAAGAAAGUAGAGUCACAUCAAAUAGUUGAUGGGCCAAGAGAUAUGUCACAAUGCCCCCAGUAGGCAGGGUUUAGGCAGGAGACAAAUUACAUUGAUGCUGGGCACUGUAGUAUGUCACAAUGUCUUUUAAGGGCAGGGCCAGGCAAAAUAAUUUCGCUGAUGGGCCUAGUGAUGUGUUAGUUUUUCUGUGAGCAGAAUCUGUGAAGAAGAGGCAAGUAACAUCAGCUUGGUGCUGAAACCAGCAAUAGAUAUCAUUAUCCCCUAGUGAACAAGGACUAGGCAGGUGAAAAGAUUCACAUCACCUUGGUGAUUGGCACAAAGGUACGUAACAAUAUCCCUGGAAGGCAGUGGCCUGGCAGGAAUGUUACAUCACCUGGGUAUUGAAACCAGCUUCACAAUAGCCUAAGUAGACAGGGCACAGGUGGCAGAGUUCCAUCACCUGGGUGCUGAGCCCAAGGAUAUGUCACAAUAUUCCUGUGGGCAAGGCUCAGGCAGGAGAGAAACAUUUUCUAAUUGCUGGAUCCAGUGAUGUCACAAUCUUCUCUGUGGGAAGAAUGCAGGUAGAAGAGAAGAGUCACAUCUUUCUAGGUAAUAAAACCAGAAGACAGGCCACAAAGCAUCCUGUGGGCAGGGCCCAGGCAGGAGUCUCUCAUCCCCUAGGUGUCAGGCCAAGAGAUUUGUCACAAUACUCAUAAUAUUCCAUGCCCUGGCAAUAAAGGUGAGUUACAUCACCUAAGUGCCAAGUCCAGGGAUAUGUCGCAAUUUCUGUUUCAUCAAGGCCCAGGCAUAAGUGGAGAGUCAUACCACCUGGGUGAUGAAUGAAAAGAUACAUCAUCAUACCCCUGUAGGCAAAGCCCAUGCAGGAGAGUUACAUCACCUAGGUGUUGGCCUCAACGAUGUGUCAAAAUACAUAAUGUAUGCAGGGUUUAGGCAGGAGAAAAGAAUAACGUCACCUAGGAUCCUGGCCAAGCAAUAUAUCAAACUUUCUUUUUGGUUGUAUUUCAGGCAGUAGAGGAGAGUCACAUCACCUGGGUUCCCAGUCCAGCAAUAUGUCACAAUGCCCCUUGUGAAAAUAACUGAAGGAUAAGAGGAGAGUAACAUAACCUAGGGGCUAGGCCAAGCUAUGUGUCACAAUCACACCUGUAAGCAGGGCCCAGGCAUGAGAGGAGAGUCACAUCAAGUAAGUACUGGGCCAUGCGAUAUAUCACAAUCCCCAUAUGGCAGGUCCCAGGAAGAUAUCACCUAGGUGCUGGGCCCAGAAACUUGUGACAAUGUCUCUUAUAGGCAAACACAGGGUAGGAGAGGGGAGGGGAUAACAUCAAACAUCUGAUGAGCCAAGUGAUAUGUUACAAUGCCCCCUGUGGGCAGGGUCCAGGCUGAAGACACACAUCACCUCGGCAUUGGGCCCAUGAAUGUUACAGUGCUUUCUGAGGGCAGGCCCAAGGCAAAAGAGUAAUAUCAUUAUGCUGCUGGGCCCAGCAGUUUGUUACAAUCUCUGCAGCAGGUGGAGCCUAAAAGAGUCAUACCAGCUAGGUAUGGGGCCUAGCAAUAUGUCACAAGAUGUUUUGUGAGAAGAAACCAGGCAGUAAAAGGGAGUCACAUCACCUGGGUGAUGAGCACAGAGAUAUGUCACAAUGGCUCCUGCAGGCAGAACCCAAACAAGAGAGUUACACUACCUGAGUUUUAGACCCAGCAGUAUGUCACACUGUCACAAUGACCCAUGUGAGCAAAGCAGAGGCAGGAGAGUAACAUAAACUAGGGGGGAGGGCAGCAAUAUUUCACAAUGUUCACUGUGGAUGGCACCAAAGCAGGAGAGAAAACUCCCAUCCCCUGGGUGCAAGGCACAGUGAUAUGUCCAAAUGCCCCAUGUGGAAAGCACAGAGGCAAGACAAUGGGGUCACAUCACCUAGUUUCUGGUCCAGCGAUAUGUCACGAUUCAUCUGUGGGUUAAAUCCAGACAGGAGAGUAAAAUCACUCAGGUUCUACACAGAAGCAUCUGUCACAGUCACACGUGCAGGAAGGUCCAAGAUGAGAUUAACAAUCCUGUGCAUAUCCUGCUUCUGUGUGCAGCAGCAAGGCAUGAGAGGAGACUCACAUUACCUGGGUGUAAGGCUCUGAGAUAUACUACAAUGUCUUUUUCAAGUAGCACCAAGGCAGAACAGAGUUACAUCACUUAGGCGCUGGGUCCAGCAGUGUGGCACAAUCCUAUUUGUAGGCUGGGCCAAUUCUGAAGAAUUACAUUACUAAGGUGCUGGGCAGAAGUGUGUGCCAAAAUCACACCUGCAGGAAAGACCAGGGAUGACAUUAACAAUCCUGUAUAUACCCCAGUUCUUGGUAUGAAAGUCAACACCUCCUGUAUGUUGGAUCUAAGCACACAAGUCACAAUUUUUAGAAUGAAUUGAAUCACUGAAUGACAGACUCAAUCCCUCUUACUGGCUGUGUCACCUUAGUGGAAUCACAGACUAAUAGGUGUGUUCAAUCUUGGUCUGAAAGUCACCAACUUACCUUUGGACUGAAUUCACUUAUGAGAGUAAAUUUUCCAACUUGUGACUGUCUCUGCAUAUGAGAUUCAGAACCUCCAGUGGACUGUGUUCAUGUGAAAAGAUGAAAAUCUUUACUGUUGGCUGGGUGUGCAUGAGUGUGAAAACCUAAACUCUACACUGAGCCUAGUUAGAACACUCUCUGUACCACCUGAGGAAUUUAUAAGGUACACGUGAGAGUCGCAAUCUUUUGUGGCUGGGAGACUUUUCUGCUGCUAUGGACCCGUGAUCGUACCUGUGGCUCUAUGCCCAGAUAUGAGAGUUAACACCUCUGUAAUGGCUGGGUCCAGAUAUGAGAGUUGCCAUCUACCUAUAAGCUAGGCUUAUUAAUAAGUCACCACCUCAGCUGUUGCCUGAUGUUCACUUACAACAGUCACAAUUUCAACUCUGCACUGCAUCCACCUGUAAGAUUUAAGACCACACCAGUAGGCUCUGUCCAUGGAUGAAGGUGAUAAUCUUAACAACUGGCAAAGUGUGCAUACACAAAAACAAUCUCAUGUUUUCUGCAACCUGUUAGGACACUCUCUGUACCACCCGGGGCUUCAUACAAUAUGUGAGAGUGUAAUUCUCUCUGACCUUCCUACAAAGGGGAGAGCCAGAAUCUUACUCAUUUUCCCAAGCCCACAUAUGAAAGAUAGUUUGUCUCUUAUUGGCUGAUUUUUGAUAUGAGAGUAAACAUCACACCUAUGAUCUGAACAAAGGUAUAUGUCACAAUCUCCCCUGUGGAUAGGGAGUGAGCAGGAGAGUUACAUCAUCUGGGUAACAGGCCAGGGAUAUGUCACAAUCUUCUCUGAGAGCAGACACCAGGCAGAAGAGUUAAAACCUGGGUGCUCAGUCAGGGAU